Molecule: long non-coding RNA, 1368 nt
Organism: Myodes glareolus (Bank vole)
Lineage: Eukaryota; Metazoa; Chordata; Mammalia; Rodentia; Cricetidae
Source: RefSeq, a predicted model, not a curated record
UCUGGGAAGGCAUGGUCCAAAGGGUGGGGGAGAAAUGAAUCAAAGGUCACUGUUACAUUGUUACCUUUCCCCACAGUAGCCCUGGGCGGUGCUCAAGGGCCGGGCCAGGCUCCCCCUUGUGUCUACCAAGAUCCAUGCCAUAAGAACUGAGUGCUGAGAGGCUGGGUCAGCACCUGUUGUUUUUUGGGAAACCAGGAUUCUUCUCAGCUAGCUUUCCACCCGUGUGACUAAGUCACUUUCUCAGGACUGCUCACACUCAAUCCUUGGGGGGGGGGGGGACCUGAGGCCUGCUCUGGUUUUCUGUGUAUACUUACACUGUGGUGAAACAGAGACAGGGAUUCAUACUGUUUGUCCAGUUUCUUAUCCUACAAAGAACAGGAAGUAAAAUGUCACUGAAACUAGGAGCCCAACCCUCAAGCAGUACCGCUUCCUGUCCACUACUCCAAGGCUGAGUGAACUCAGACCCUCUACCACAGGGCGGCAGCAGGGGUACGGCUCAGCACUGGGGCAGUGGCCCAGCACAUGAGGCCUUGUUCUACCUGCCACCCCUCCACUACCACAAAGAACCCCCAGGGACAGGUUCACUAGCUGAGAACACACGUCAGCUCCCAGGAAAGAAGUGCAGCUCUACACAACAGUGGCGAGGGUUCACAGAGGAGGGGCUUUAAGUCCUGCUUUCAAAGAUGCCUUACACUGUGGGUAGAAGGACAAGUGGGUCUGUGUGCAACACAAUCAGCUCAUAUCCACAGCGCCUGUGCACUCAGACAGUUGGCAAAGGUUAAGGUUCGUGGCCUCCCUCGGUCCUGACUCCGCCGGCCCAAAACAUAGCCUUUCACAGAACUGAAUCUUGAUCCCCACAUUGUAUUUCUGCGGAGGCUGAAUGCUAACUGACAAAGGGAAAGGCAGCAACCCAAGAACUGGGCCACAACUUAAUGUCUGGUGACAUGAAUGCAUUCUGUGGCUAGAAACAAACCACCAAGUGGUUCUGCUCUGAAAUCAAGACCAGCUUCAUGGUCCACAUGUACACCUUUCAGUGAACACAAAAUCUGCUCAACAUUGCAGCAGCAGCACUGGGGAGGGAUGCCACUGCUGUCCUGAGACGCAUCUUCUAACAAAGCCUCAAGCCCAUCGCUACGACAGCAGCUCUGCUUUAGUAUGAGUGCCCAGUGCCUUCCACACUGCAAGAGUCAGGAGGCACUGAGAGCUUCAGACACCAAGCCUCAUCUUUCAUCUGUAAGGCACCUACUCCCUAUUCGUGCAAGCUUCUCGACGGCUCUGUAAAAUAUUUGAUCACUUACCACACAGUGGACAAGAAUGCUGAAAGGAAUCCAGAAUAUCAAGGAGAAAACCAGGACGGACCCUACGAUG